UAGUCCACGCCCUAAACGAUGCUUACUGGAUGUGUGUUAAUGUUAUGCGCAUCUGAGGGAAACCAUUAAGUAAGCCACCUGGGGAGUACGGUCGCAAGGCUAAAACUCAAAGGAAUUGACGGGGGCCCGCACAAGCGGUGGAGUAUGUGGUUUAAUUCGAAGCAACGCGAAGAACCUUACCUGGUCUUAACAUUUAGCGACAACUCCAGAGAUGGAGCUUUCCCUUCGGGGACGCUAGGAUAGGUGCUGCAUGGCUGUCGUCAGCUCGUGUCGUAGGAUGUUGGGUUAAGUCCCGCAACGAGCGCAACCCUUACCUUUAGUUGCCACCAUUAAGUUGGGGACUCUAAAGGGACUGCCGGUGUUAAACCGGAGGAAGGCGGGGAUGAUGUCAAGUCCUCAUGGCCCUUACGGCCAGGGCUACACACGUACUACAAUGGCAGAAACAAACCGUUGCGAAGCCGCGAGGUGGAGCUAAUCGGAAAAACACUGUCUCAGUCCGGAUUGAAGUCUGCAACUCGACUUCA
Molecule: ribosomal RNA, 524 nt
Filed under: uncultured bacterium
Lineage: Bacteria
Description: bacterial SSU rRNA
Rfam family: Bacterial small subunit ribosomal RNA
Source: RNAcentral